This 348-nucleotide unclassified non-coding RNA is filed under the name soil metagenome. RNAcentral describes it as "partial contains 5.8S ribosomal RNA, internal transcribed spacer 2, and large subunit ribosomal RNA". The stretch from base 1 to 120 matches the Rfam family "5.8S ribosomal RNA", at positions 35 to 154 of the family's 154-position model. The record is from RNAcentral.
GAUGAAGAACGCAGCGAAAUGCGAAAAGUAAUGUGAAUUGCAGAAUUCAGUGAAUCAUCGAAUCUUUGAACGCACAUUGCGCCCGCCAGUAUUCUGGCGGGCAUGCCUGUCUGAGCGUCAUUUCAACCCUCAUGCCCCUAGGGCGUGGUGUUGGGGAUCGGCCAGCGCCCGCGAGGGACGGCCGGCCCCUAAAUCUAGUGGCGGACCCGUCGUGGCCUCCCCUGCGAAGUAGUGAUAUUCCGCAUAGGAGAGCGACGAGCCCCUGCCGUUAAACCCCCUACUUUCUAAGGUUGACCUCAGAUCAGGUAGGAAUACCCGCUGAACUUAAGCAUAUCAAUAAGCGGAGGA